RNAcentral lists this small RNA (1165 nucleotides) under Pan troglodytes (chimpanzee). RNAcentral describes it as "retained intron". Lineage: Eukaryota; Metazoa; Chordata; Mammalia; Primates; Hominidae. The record is from RNAcentral.
GUUUCUUUUUAAAAACAUUGUAUCUGUGGUUGGGUUAUUUCUGUCAAUUUAUUUGCCUUCCUUGCCAAGUCACACUUCGCCUAAUUGAUGUCCUGUGUGUUUUCCAUUCCGUUCAUGCUGAAUUAUCUUAGGUCAAAGAGGAAAUCAUCUUUCUGCCUCCAACCUUCUUACUUGCCUCUAAUCCCCUUUCUUGACUCUUCCAAGUCAGGAUUCUCACCAAGGAAGCUAUCUGCCUUCUUUGGGAAUGUUGGGAUUAUGAAGACUUGAGAUAAUGGGGUUCAUGUAUUCAGACUCUUUAGCAUAUACAGUAGAGUUUCUAAUGUUGUCAUCAUUCCCUAGUGGGCGGUUACAAGUUAGGUUGGGAUUCUAAUCAUAUUUUAUGAUAUCUCACAGAUUAAAUUGCACUUUGUCUCUGCCCAGUCUUGAUUCCCUUUUGGCCAGCAGUUUUUAGGUCUGUCAGUACUGCACUGCAAGAAUGGCAGAUUUUGGGAUCUCUGCUGGCCAGUUUGUGGCAGUGGUCUGGGAUAAGUCAUCCCCAGUGGAGGCUCUGAAAGGUCUGGUGGAUAAGCUUCAAGCGUUAACCGGCAAUGAGGGCCGCGUGUCUGUGGAAAACAUCAACCAGCUGUUGCAAUCUGCCCACAAAGAAUCCAGCUUUGACAUUAUUUUGUCGGGUUUAGUCCCAGGAAGCACCACUCUGCACAGUGCUGAGAUUUUGGCUGAAAUCGCCCGGAUCCUUCGGCCUGGUGGAUGUCUUUUUCUGAAAGAGCCAGUAGAGACAGCUGUAGAUAACAAUAGCAAAGUGAAGACAGCAUCUAAGUUGUGUUCAGCCCUGACUCUUUCUGGUCUUGUGGAAGUGAAAGAGCUGCAGCGGGAGCCCCUAACCCCUGAGGAAGUACAGUCUGUUCGAGAACACCUUGGUCAUGAAAGUGACAACCUGCUGUUUGUUCAGAUCACAGGCAAAAAACCAAACUUUGAAGUGGGUUCUUCUAGGCAGCUUAAGUUUUCCAUCACCAAGAAGUCUUCUCCUUCAGGUAAGGCUGGCCUAGGGACAUUCUUCUGUUUGAAUGGGCUUAGAGGGACAUGUUAGAAAUUGAGCCAGCAAUAAAUGAGAUGGUGAUAUUUUUAGAGGAUUAGUCCUUUGAUUUCUGCCAUUUCCACAUAGAAG